Molecule: ribosomal RNA, 1085 nt
Filed under: Neisseria mucosa
Lineage: Bacteria; Pseudomonadati; Pseudomonadota; Betaproteobacteria; Neisseriales; Neisseriaceae
Also listed under: 1 other name
Description: bacterial SSU rRNA
Rfam family: Bacterial small subunit ribosomal RNA
Source: RNAcentral
GGCGAGUGGCGAACGGGUGAGUAACAUAUCGGAACGUACCGAGCAGUGGGGGAUAACUAAUCGAAAGAUUAGCUAAUACCGCAUAUUUUCUGAGGAAGAAAGCAGGGGACCAUUUGGCCUUGCGCUGUUUGAGCGGCCGAUAUCUGAUUAGCUAGUUGGUGGGGUAAAGGCCUACCAAGGCGACGAUCAGUAGCGGGUCUGAGAGGAUGAUCCGCCACACUGGGACUGAGACACGGCCCAGACUCCUACGGGAGGCAGCAGUGGGGAAUUUUGGACAAUGGGCGCAAGCCUGAUCCAGCCAUGCCGCGUGUCUGAAGAAGGCCUUCGGGUUGUAAAGGACUUUUGUCAGGGAAGAAAAGGGCGGGGUUAAUACCCCUGUCUGAUGACGGUACCUGAAGAAUAAGCACCGGCUAACUACGUGCCAGCAGCCGCGGUAAUACGUAGGGUGCGAGCGUUAAUCGGAAUUACUGGGCGUAAAGCGGGCGCAGACGGUUACUUAAGCAGGAUGUGAAAUCCCCGGGCUCAACCUGGGAACUGCGUUCUGAACUGGGUGACUAGAGUGUGUCAGAGGGAGGUAGAAUUCCACGUGUAGCAGUGAAAUGCGUAGAGAUGUGGAGGAAUACCGAUGGCGAAGGCAGCCUCCUGGGAUAACACUGACGUUCAUGCCCGAAAGCGUGGGUAGCAAACAGGAUUAGAUACCCUGGUAGUCCACGCCCUAAACGAUGUCGAUUAGCUGUUGGGCAGCAUGACUGCUUAGUAGCGAAGCUAACGCGUGAAAUCGACCGCCUGGGGAGUACGGUCGCAAGAUUAAAACUCAAAGGAAUUGACGGGGACCCGCACAAGCGGUGGAUGAUGUGGAUUAAUUCGAUGCAACGCGAAGAACCUUACCUGGUCUUGACAUGUACGGAACCCUCCAGAGACGGAGGGGUGCCUUCGGGAGCCGUAACACAGGUGCUGCAUGGCUGUCGUCAGCUCGUGUCGUGAGAUGUUGGGUUAAGUCCCGCAACGAGCGCAACCCUUGUCAUUAGUUGCCAUCAUUAAGUUGGGCACUCUAAUGAGACUGCCGGUGACAAGCCGGAGGAAGG